RNAcentral lists this long non-coding RNA (3346 nucleotides) under Canis lupus familiaris (dog). RNAcentral describes it as "lncRNA (ENSCAFG00845025498.1)". Lineage: Eukaryota; Metazoa; Chordata; Mammalia; Carnivora; Canidae. The record is from RNAcentral.
UUCCUUCUUCCUUUUCUUCUUCCUUCUUUCUUCUUCUUUUUUUUAAACGCAGGCUCCGUGCCCAGCAUGGAGCUUGCACUCAGGACCCUGAGAUCAAGACCUGAGCUGAGAGCGAGGCGGACGCCUAACCGUUGACGGAGCCACCCAGGCGCCCCUGUGAUUGUAAAUGUUUUUAAACACGAGUCUGUGGAUGCCAGGACAGAGGGUGGGAUUUUCACUUACUAGAUUUGCACAGGGAGUUCUUCAAACCUUUGUCUGCAGAUACUGCAAACCUGGUUCUGCAGAUACUGUCUCGCCUGCCUCCCUGACAGAGGUCAGACCCCUGAGCAAACACUGGACCCACACCUUCAGAUAGAAUUGACUGCAGACGCUAUGUUUAGGUUCCAUCUCCUGCCAUUAAUAAUCCCUCACAUCUGUAUAAAGCCCUGGAAAAGAGCUUAUAAAUCAUCCCGAGGGUGGCCAGUCCGUAAGUUUUGUUUGCCAUGCUUCACUCUCUGCAGAGUGAUCUCUGUGACACCUGCCUCCUGCCACAUGUGUAGCCUGCAGUCUUUGUGGGGAGGGGUUAAGAGGUGGCCUUGAGGCGCUAGCAGAAUCCUUGAGCCACCUGGAUAGCUUUUUGAGAACAGGAUUCAGAGCUGUUGAGGUGCCCUCUUCAACAUCCUGCAUUAUCUGCAGGAGCCCUUUGCUUGGAGAUCUUGCUGCUUUCAGACAUGGGAUCUGUUUCUUCAGAAUCGGCCAGGCUAGGGAGCUUGGCUCCAUGCCUGCUGAAUAACACGUAGAUAACCAUGAACACUUUGCAGGUUGCGUUAAGCUAAGGUGAUUCCCAGUGGAUUGAGUUUUGCCGACUUGCUCUUUGCCUCCAUGAUCAUGAAAGCAGGUUGUGUGCUGACUCUUCCCAGGUGUGCCCAGGUGUGCCUGUCCCAGCCUCUCCCUUUGCCCCUAGCCACGUCACAUGUGGUUAAGUCCACACACCACUCCUCUGCUCCCACCCCCGACUUGUCGUCCCCAGGCAGAGACUCUCCUGUGUCAGGCAGUGGCUCUUCUGAGCCAGUGAUCAAGCCUGAAGCCCCAGGGUGCCUCUGAAGCCUGUCUGGCUGGAGCGGGUUGUCCUCCUCACCCCCACUCAUGCCACUUUGGGCCACUGUCUCCUGGAAGACUGACUGCCCUUACUUCUUACUGGUCUCACGCCCUGCCCUGCCCACCAUCCAUACUGCAGCCAGAGUGGUCUUCUGUCUGUUAAAGACUUACUCAUUUGAGAGAGCAUGUGAGAGAGCAUGAACGGGAGAUGCAGAGGGAGAGGGAGAGGGAGAGAGAGAAUCUCAAGCACACUCCCCACUGAGUGCAGAGCCAUACAUAGAGCCUCAUCUUGCCACCCUGAUACCAUAACCUGAGCCAAAACCAAGAGUUGGAUGCUUCCUCAACUGAGCCACCCAGGCGCCCCCAGAGGGGUCUUCUUGAGACAGAAACAGUAACUUAAAGCCCCUGGAUGCUCUUCCUUCACCCUUAGCAUAAAACCCAGCUGCCUCCCCUGGCUGCCUGUGGGUCAUCCUCUCUGACCAUAGCUGCCUGCUCUUGACACCAGCCACCCUGUCCUUGACCUGCCCUUGACCUCUGCCCAGAGUCCUGUUUUACCUUUGGGCCUGAAAGGCUUGCCCUCCAGCUGAUCCUUCUGGGCUUCCAUGUCAUCUAGGAGGUCCCCUCUUGGACCCUCUCUACUUUUUGGCCUCCCUAUGUGAGCUCUAGAGGGGCAGGAGGAGGACUUUACUGCCAAUGUCUGCAUCCUCCCCGUGGCUGGCAUGUGGGAGGCAGUCAAACAAACGCUUGCCGAAGGAGCAAAUAAAUGCAGGCCGCAUGCCUCUCUGGGCCUGUAAUGGAACCAUUUGUUCCAAUUAGCCGAAGACUAAUAAAGCUAGUUUGGCUUUUGUAACUGGGCAUCUUUGAAAGCAUGACACCUGUUUAUAUUGGUAGGUCCUCCUCCCACUCAGUAGGCUUCAGAAGGUAAAAACAGGAGAAAUUGUGAUAAGAAAACAUACAAUUUUGGGUUUUCAUUAUAGUUCUUGGUAGCUUUUUCCCCCUUCUGUUAGCUUCCUUUUUAUUGUGGGGCAUCCGGUAUAGAGCUUAGGAAGAAGGAGCAUGGUCCCGGGGCUCCAGGAGGUAGCAGAGGGGCUGGCUGUGCCGGAGGGAGCCGUGAGGUGCAUCCUGAGUCCCCAAGGAAGAAGACAGGAACCAUGAGGAAGGGAGCCGGAAUAGACCUGGCUCUGAAGCCGUUGAAAGGAAACACACUUUAUUGGUUGAGGCAGGGCAGCUAGCCUGAGCAGAGACACCCAUAGACACCCACUCCGGAGGAUUCUCUGUGUCUCCUUUUCAUGGAGUCUUUCAGUGGCGCCUGAGCCGGUCUCUCAAGACAGCAGCCACAUGCAUCCCCCAGAGUCCAGUGCUCCUGCCUGGACACAAGGGGUUCAGGGCCAUCAGGGACUCAUCUGUGGACUCUCUGGGUUUCUUCUGUGCCAGACUCCAGGAGGUUGGUGGGUGGCAGUGAGAUUGGCAGGUGGCUAAACGGCUGCCAACUUCCUGGGUCAGCUGGGUGUGGCCUGGAGGCCUGAUGGUAGGGGUGGGGGUGAGGUUCCACUCCUGGACUCCACCGGCCACCCCGGGCCUCUGAGCAGAGGGGACAGUGGGCUGGGUAGUGCUGGACAGGUCGGGGAGGGGCCAGUGGCCCCUGGAAUUGGGUCUAUUAAUGGAAUAUGAAGUUUGUUAGAUGGCUGGGGAAAGACUAAAUUCAGAACACAUCCCAGGUCCAGGUAAGGGGCUAAUACCUGGUAAAAUGCUGGUUGUGUCACACUGUCCCCUUCUCCUAGGAGAUUGCCGAAGAUGGCGGAAGCUCACCAAGCCGUGGCCUUCCAGUUCACUGUCACCCCAGACGGUAUCGACCUGCGGCUGAGCCAUGAAGCUCUUAAGCAAAUCUAUCUGUCUGGACUACAUUCCUGGAAGAAGAAGUUCAUCAGAUUCAAGGUUUGUGGAUCCUUGUUUAAAUCUAUGUGGUGCUCAGCUAGCACCUGAGAAUGCGUCUGGGUGCUGGUGCAGGAUGGGUGUGUCAGUGCUGACGGGCACGGGGUUGGUACUUCAUCGGGACUUAUGAAACACUUCCACAUGUACUGGCUCACUGAGUUCUUUUACUUUUAUUUAUGUAUUUAUUUUAAAGAUUGUAUUUAUUUACUCAUGAGAGACACACAGAGAGCCAGAGACAUAGGCAUACGGAGAAGCAGGUUCCAUGUGGGGAGUCCAGUGCGGGACUUGAUCCCAGGACCCUGGAAUCACAACCUGAGCCGAAAACAGACGUUCAACC